AGAUAUCAUCACAACAAACAAAUAAACAAAAAAACAAAUAGACGUUGGAUGAUCACAGGGGCAUUAGUCUAUACAUUCAUUUCUAUACUUACAUACAAUUUAGCAGCGAAAGUGUAUGGGUGAUGAAAAGUGUCAAUUAAAAUGAGUG
This is a long non-coding RNA of Sphaeramia orbicularis (orbiculate cardinalfish), 148 nucleotides long. RefSeq lists it as uncharacterized. Lineage: Eukaryota; Metazoa; Chordata; Actinopteri; Kurtiformes; Apogonidae. The transcript is spliced from 3 exons. The record is from RefSeq and is a predicted model, not a curated record.